UUCCUUCAAAAUAAAAUGACAAAAUCUUUAAUUAGCUAUGACAUUAUAGAUUUCAAAAUGACCUUGGAGGGAGAAAAAAUUCUUAAAUGUUUCAGAUGUAAUGUUUUAUAAUUUUGAAAUGACUUUUUUCUCGUUUUUUUUUUCAGAUAAAAAAUAUGGAAUCCAAAGAAUCUGGGAAGCGGGCCCAAACCGUAAGUCCCUCAUGGUUAAAUAUUUACAUGUAUAAUGUCUUUCUUUUUUUUAAAAAAAAAAAGCUUGGCUUCUGGUAUGCUUAAAGUAAAAGCCAAGUGCAGCAAUUUUUCUUUAGGAUCAGUUUAAGUUAAUUUAAUAUACACCCCCAAAAUAUGCAUGCCUAAGACUUUUUUAAAUUAUUUGCAGUCACCAACAGAGGCGCAGCAAAAGAAAAGGAGUAAAUCAGAUGUAAGUCCCUUUAUUUGGUUAAUCUUAUUUUCUAUUACAAUAUCUUAGUUACGCCCCCUUGACUCACUCUCAAAUCAUUGUGUUAUAUAGGUAUUCUUAUACUAAUAGGUUGAAAUAUGCAUAUUUAUAAUGUCUUUUUUUAAAAAAAAUAGAAGCUUGGCUUCUGGUCAGUAUAAAGCAACAAUCUUUCUUUAGGAUCAGGUUAAGUUAAUUUAAUGUUCCCCCACACACACAUGCAUGCCUAGACACAUUAAUUAAGACUUUUUUAAAUUAUUUGCAGUCUCAGACGAUAAUACCCGUGCCUGGAACAAGUUGUAAGUACAAUACAGAACUUUUAUAUAACUAAAGUAAAUAUAUUAUUUAUUAAUUAAUUUAAUUCAAAAUGAACUUGGAGGGAAAAAAGAUUCUUAAAUGUUUCAGAUGUAAUGUUUUAUAAUUUUGAAAUGACUUUUUUCUGUUUGUUUUUUUUUUUCAAAACAGCAGCAGACAAGAAAAAACCCCCAUCACAAGUAAGUCCCUCUGAUUUUAUUUAAAACAUGACUGCCAUGUUUACUUUGAGUGCUUGGGUGUAGCGUUUAAAGUAAGUACAAGCCUAGUGGAACAAUUUUUCUUUAGGUUUAGGUUAAGUUAAUUUAAUGUAACCCCCCCCCAAAAAAAAAAAUAUGCAUGCCUAGACACAUUAAUUAAAACUUUUUUUAAUUAUUUGCAGCAUGACAACACAGAAGCAAGUUCCAGCUACAAUUUCAGUGAUGAUACAAACAGUACGUACAAUACAGAACAUUUUUUUAACUUUUUAAAGGAAAUUUUCAGAAUGCCUGUAUUGAUGACAUAAAUUAUUAAGUCUUUUUGCAUAUUUUUUUUUUUCAGCCAUGAGACUUUCAAGAGACAUUAGAACGUCUAACACCAGAUGGCUGGCAGCUGAAGCCUUAAGUUACAACUUUAUGUUCUCAACAGGAAGGCUACAGGAAGACGACUUUAAUAUUUUAUACCAUGAAUUAAACAAUCACAUUAAGCAAUAUGUGGAGUCGAAGGAGCCUCACAAUCAAUAAAUUGAACAGCAGCCUGGGGAUAUUAUAUCUGCCACUGCUUACAAAUAGUUUGGAAGUAACAGGCAAGAAUGGAGGAACAAGUCCAAGGACAAAGCCAUCUGAUGAUGGGUCAUGCUGUUGAGGAGCACAGAGAAAUGUUUCGAAGCUUGCUCCACAUAUGAAUUAAGUUACGAAAUGUAGGUGAACAAGGAAUGACUCCAGCAGCAAUCCCAUGUUUCAGCAUGACAACACAGAAGCAAGUUCCAGCUACAAUUUCAGUGAUGAUACAAACAGUACGUACAAUACAGAACAUUUUUUUAACUUUUUAAAGGAAAUUUUCAGAAUGCCUGUAUUGAUGACAUAAAUUAUUAAGUCUUUUUGCAUAUUUUUUUUUUUCAGCCAUGAGACUUUCAAGAGACAUUAGAACGUCUAACACCAGAUGGCUGGCAGCUGAAGCCUUAAGUUACAACUUUAUGUUCUCAACAGGAAGGCUACAGGAAGACGACUUUAAUAUUUUAUACCAUGAAUUAAACAAUCACAUUAAGCAAUAUGUGGAGUCGAAGGAGCCUCACAAUCAAUAAAUUGAAGUAAGUAAUAAAUAAAAUAAAGAAAUUUUUUCACGAUAAAGGUGAAAACAAAGUCAUCAUGCACAGCAUAUCCUUGUGUUCUUUUGUCACUGAUUCAGUGUUUUUAUUGCCAAAACUGACACCACAAAGAGAGUGAUAGCAUAUCUAACCAUACACUGAAAACCACUGACAUUUCAUCAAUACAUGAAAGAUGUUGCUACUCAUAACGAGAUAAUUGUUACUACAGAGCAGGCUCUUUUAGUCAAAAUGCUUCUUUGAUAGAAAUAGUGGGCAGGCAGGUAGAAAUUGUGGUGCUAGUUAUGUAGGGCAAAGGUUGGGAUACUGAGAGCAUACUUGAUUGUUUUUGUUUUGUUUUUGCAAGUCAAUAUGUUUUCCUGUUUGGGUUGCAUAUGACCCUGAAGUAGACUGUAGUUUCAUGUACAAAUGUAUUACAAUGAAACAUUUGUAUUUGACUUUUAACCAUCACAAUUUCCCUUUGUGCACAGCAGCAGCCUGGGGAUAUUAUAUCUGCCACUGCUUACAAAUAGUUUGGAAGUAACAGGCAAGAAUGGAGGAACAAGUCCAAGGACAAAGCCAUCUGAUGGUCAGUGAAAUAAGAAAUCAAAGAAAAUAACCAUGCAUGUGUUUAAUUUAUCAAUGUAAGCAUGGCUUUAUCAUUCAUGAUUUGUUUAUGAAGAAAGUUAACCCUGCCUAUUACCCUGUUCUGGGUAAUCUCUGCAUGUUGUACACCUGUUUACAAGUGCAACUGCUUUGAUGUGAUAUGGUUCUAGUGAUUCUACCUCUUAUUAGUUUUCCUUUCUAAUCCACAAAUAGUAAUCAACACUAGAAGCAAGCCUACAUGAAUCUAUUUACAUAAGUGGUGUUGGCCAUCAACUUCCUGUUGCCUCCUAGCUGCUUUAAAGCUCAUAAAUAGUAAGAAACAGAAAUACGUUUUACUUCAACUGAAUGGCACAUCGGUAAGAAGUGAAUAAAUUGAAAUGCCUUGUUUUUGCUUAUCAUUAAAGGACUAAUAUUUUGAUUGCAGAUGGGUCAUGCUGUUGAGGAGCACAGAGAAAUGUUUCGAAGCUUGCUCCACAUAUGAAUUAAGUUACGAAAUGUAGGUGAACAAGGAAUGACUCCAGCAGCAAUCCCAUGUUUCAGCAUGACAACACAGAAGCAAGUUCCAGCUACAAUUUCAGUGAUGAUACAAACAGUACGUACAAUACAGAACAUUUUUUUAACUUUUUAAAGGAAAUUUUCAGAAUGCCUGUAUUGAUGACAUAAAUUAUUAAGUCUUUUUGCAUAUUUUUUUUUUCAGCCAUGAGACUUUCAAGAGACAUUAGAACGUCUAACACCAGAUGGCUGGCAGCUGAAGCCUUAAGUUACAACUUUAUGUUCUCAACAGGAAGGCUACAGGAAGACGACUUUAAUAUUUUAUACCAUGAAUUAAACAAUCACAUUAAGCAAUAUGUGGAGUCGAAGGAGCCUCACAAUCAAUAAAUUGAAGUAAGUAAUAAAUAAAAUAAAGUAAUUUUUUCACGAUAAAGGUGAAAACAAAGUCAUCAUGCACAGCAUAUCCUUGUGUUCUUUUGUCACUGAUUCAGUGUUUUUAUUGCCAAAACUGACACCACAAAGAGAGUGAUAGCAUAUCUAACCAUACACUGAAAACCACUGACAUUUCAUCAAUACAUGAAAGAUGUUGCUACUCAUAACGAGAUAAUUGUUACUACAGAGCAGGCUCUUUUAGUCAAAAUGCUUCUUUGAUAGAAAUAGUGGGCAGGCAGGUAGAAAUUGUGGUGCUAGUUAUGUAGGGCAAAGGUUGGGAUACUGAGAGCAUACUUGAUUGUUUUGUUUUGUUUUUGCAAGUCAAUAUGUUUUCCUGUUUGGGUUGCAUAUGACCCUGAAGUAGACUGUAGUUUCAUGUACAAAUGUAUUACAAUGAAACAUUUGUAUUUGACUUUUAACCAUCACAAUUUCCCUUUGUGCACAGCAGCAGCCUGGGGAUAUUAUAUCUGCCACUGCUUACAAAUAGUUGGAAGUAACAGGCAAGAAUGGAGGAACAAGUCCAAGGACAAAGCCAUCUGAUGGUCAGUGAAAUAAGAAAUCAAAGAAAAUAACCAUGCAUGUGUUUAAUUUAUCAAUGUAAGCAUGGCUUUAUCAUUCAUGAUUUGUUUAUGAAGAAAGUUAACCCUGCCUAUUACCCUGUUCUGGGUAAUCUCUGCAUGUUGUACACCUGUUUACAAGUGCAACUGCUUUGAUGUGAUAUGGUUCUAGUGAUUCUACCUCUUAUUAGUUUUCCUUUCUAAUCCACAAAUAGUAAUCAACACUAGAAGCAAGCCUACAUGAAUCUAUUUACAUAAGUGGUGUUGGCCAUCAACUUCCUGUUGCCUCCUAGCUGCUUUAAAGCUCAUAAAUAGUAAGAAACAGAAAUACGUUUUACUUCAACUGAAUGGCACAUCGGUAAGAAGUGAAUAAAUUGAAAUGCCUUGUUUUUGCUUAUCAUUAAAGGACUAAUAUUUUGAUUGCAGAUGGUCAUGCUGUUGAG
This is a long non-coding RNA of Pomacea canaliculata, 4559 nucleotides long. RefSeq lists it as uncharacterized. The transcript is spliced from 5 exons. The record is from RefSeq and is a predicted model, not a curated record. NCBI's taxonomy places the organism in Eukaryota, Metazoa, Mollusca, Gastropoda, Architaenioglossa, Ampullariidae.